Molecule: ribosomal RNA, 455 nt
Filed under: uncultured bacterium
Lineage: Bacteria
Description: bacterial SSU rRNA
Rfam family: Bacterial small subunit ribosomal RNA
Source: RNAcentral
UACGGAAGGCAGCAGUGGGGAAUAUUGCACAAUGGGCGCAAGCCUGAUGCAGCCAUGCCGCGUGUAUGAAGAAAGGGCCUUCGGGUUGUAAAGUACUUUCAGCGGGGAGGAAGGCGGUGGAGUUAAUAGCUUCACCGAUUGACGUUACCCGCAGAAGAAGCACCGGCUAACUCCGUGCCAGCAGCCGCGGUAAUACGGAGGGUGCAAGCGUUAAUCGGAAUUACUGGGCGUAAAGCGCACGCAGGCGGUCUGUCAAGUCGGAUGUGAAAUCCCCGGGCUUAACCUGGGAACUGCAUUCGAAACUGGCAGGCUAGAGUCUUGUAGAGGGGGUAGAAUUCCAGGUGUAGCGGUGAAAUGCGUAGAGAUCUGGAGGAAUACCGGUGGCGAAGGCGGCCCCUGGACAAGACUGACGCUCAGGUGCGAAAGCGUGGGGAGCAAACGAGGAUUAGGAUACC